GUACGGUUUAUAAAGCUCAAACGCUCACGAACACGCACCCAAACGAUUUGGAGACAUCAAGUUUCCCUUAAAAGUGAGGAUGCUCGGCGUAAAAGUGGGCGAAAAGUUUGCACGAAACGGGUUUGGGAAGAGGACUACUUUUUGUGACGGUGCGGCGAAUUUAUUUCACUUUGCCUAAGGAACGGCUGUAGUGCGACUCCCAUUGCCUAGGGAAAAACCCGGAUGUAAACUCGGCGAAACUCAUCUGGAGAGAAGUGGCAACCGAACUCAAUCCAACUCAUGCACAAGAAUUAUUUGCAUUUUAUCCAAACAUGGAGAUGCUGUGAAAUGAGGCCUGGCUGCUGGAAUGCUGUUUCCUGAAAGUUUCGCCAGAGGCUUUUAUUAAAUACCAAGCUCUGAAUACGAUGAACAGGCCUACGAUUGGCGUCCAACUUGCCUUAUGCAUGUGUACAGAAGAACACAAUGCUCUUCAAAGAGUGGAAAUUCAAUUUGAAUGGAAGAUCCCAGAUUUUCAUUAUGGACAUUAUUGCAUGGAUGCUACUCUCAGGCAG
Molecule: long non-coding RNA, 551 nt
Organism: Paramisgurnus dabryanus
Lineage: Eukaryota; Metazoa; Chordata; Actinopteri; Cypriniformes; Cobitidae
Source: RefSeq, a predicted model, not a curated record